UUAUCAUCAAUCCCCAAAAUUAAUAUUUUAAUUAAACUACCUCCUG
Molecule: transfer RNA, 46 nt
Filed under: Ceratitis cosyra (mango fruit fly)
Lineage: Eukaryota; Metazoa; Arthropoda; Insecta; Diptera; Tephritidae
Description: tRNA-Pro
Source: RNAcentral